UGGGGAAGAUUGGACAAUGGGGGGAACCCUGAUCCAGCCAUGCCGCGUGUGUGAAGAAGGCCUUAUGGUUGUAAAGCACUUUAAGCGAGGAGGAGGGUACUGGUAUUAAUACUACCAGGUACUGGACGUUACUCGCAGAAUAAGCACCGGCUAACUCUGUGCCAGCAGCCGCGGUAAUACAGAGGGUGCGAGCGUUAAUCGGAUUUACUGGGCGUAAAGCGUGCGUAGGCGGCUGAUUAAGUCGGAUGUGAAAUCCCUGAGCUUAACUUAGGAAUUGCAUUCGAUACUGGUCAGCUAGAGUAUGGGAGAGGAUGGUAGAAUUCCAGGUGUAGCGGUGAAAUGCGUAGAGAUCUGGAGGAAUACCGAUGGCGAAGGCAGCCAUCUGGCCUAAUACUGACGCUGAGGUACGAAAGCAUGGGGAGCAAACAGG
This 430-nucleotide ribosomal RNA is filed under the name Pseudomonadota bacterium. RNAcentral describes it as "Proteobacteria bacterium partial 16S ribosomal RNA". It matches the Rfam family "Bacterial small subunit ribosomal RNA", at positions 355 to 776 of the family's 1533-position model. Lineage: Bacteria; Pseudomonadati; Pseudomonadota. The record is from RNAcentral.